This 240-nucleotide unclassified non-coding RNA is filed under the name soil metagenome. RNAcentral describes it as "partial contains 5.8S ribosomal RNA, internal transcribed spacer 2, and large subunit ribosomal RNA". The record is from RNAcentral.
AACGCACGAGACCUGCGGACCUGCGGAAGGAUCAUUACCGAGUUUACAACUCCCAAACCCAAUGUGAACGUUACCAAACUGUUGCCUCGGCGGGAUCUCUGCCCCGGGUGCGUCGCAGCCCCGGACCAAGGCGCCCGCCAGAGGACCAACCAAAACUCUUUUGUAUACCCCCUCGCGGGUUUUUAUAUCUGAGCCAUCUCGGCGCCUCUCGUAGGCGUUUCGAAAAUGAAUCAAAACUUU